ACCUCUAGCCUGUGAACCUCCACAUGCCGUGGGAGCGGCCCUAGAAAUGGCAAAAAGACAAAAAACAAAACAAAACAAAAAAACAGGCGAGAAAACUCGCAAUAGAACAAACUCUUCCAGUUGAGGCUGGGAGAGUCAGGAAAGGGAAAAAGGAAGAGUAGAGGGAGCAGAGCGAGAGAGGGGGCAGGACGGAGAAAGGAGGAAACCGGCGGUGAGCAUGAGGAAGGACCUCGGGGACGCGGGCAGGUCGGGUGUCCCCCCCCCCCCCCGCCCCCGCCGGCUGUGCGCUGGGCCCCCUGUGGUCUUUGAAGUGUUGACACCCAGAGUGGUUUCUGGGCCCCUCACAGCCACCGCAGCUCCCCAACCCCUUGAGCUGCGGCCAAAUUCGUAUCCACCCAGACUUUAUCGAGCACUGAACUUGCCUGGGGCACGGAAUUCUGCCUGCGCGGAUGUGGACGGAGGCGGCCCCGAGCGGCCAGCGGGGCCAGACAUUCCGCUCUCGAGGCCCGUAGCUGAAGGAGACCCAGGUGGCCCUUCCUACCGGUGAGGAAACAGCUCCUCGGUUUAAGUCCGGACCAAGGCCUCAGACAGCAGGUGCAAGGACAAGAGCCGGGUCCGGGCCUUCUGACCAGGGUCAGGGACUUCAGCUGCUCCGUGUGAGGGGCAGACGGAUCGGACGGCGGCCCAGCCUGGCCCAGGGUCUGCAGACUCGCACCUCGAGACCCACAGGUGGCUUUUGGGUGUCUGCGUUCAGAGUGACAGUGUGCAAUCUUGGGUGUCUGCGUUCAGAGUGACAGUGCGCAAUCUUCUGGGAAGAGGACCUGGGGCUUCAAGACCUUCUCUUUGCUGCUUUGUCAGGUUCCCUCAAACCUUACGCACAUACAGGCAAUCUUCAGAAGAGCCUAGAUGUCAUCACAUCCUGACUCCUCCGUGAAGCCUGCUUGGUUUCCUCCCCGCCUGCUUCCCUCAGCCUCCCCUUCCACCACGCCAGCCCCAAGCCCUUCCCAAGCAACCCAGUGAACAGCCAGCUGUGCCCCCAUGUUUGCCCUCAUGUUUGCAUAAAUCAUAUGCAAACUCAUGGUGGCUGCAGAGACAGGAAGCGGCGGCCUGGCCAGCCCUGCGGGGAGCAGCGUCUUAUCACUGACAGGGUGAGAACUGCAGAUGCACGGUGAUAAUAAAAAGCAGACAAACUUCAGCCACUGACAAGGGGCUGCUUUAACGCUCUGCAGACAACGUACACAAUUACAGUCGCGUGCGGGACAAGCUGCACCAUCGCCCACCUUGAUGUAGCCCUGGAAACACACAGGAGCAGACAGUCUGUCGUCCCACGUGUGUAAAACCACCGCUCACCCCUGCCUCAUCUUGACAUGGUUCUACUUCCCACCUCUGCUGCGCCUGGAACCAGACGUGCUACAGACAGGCCACGACUCUCAACCAUCUCCCUGCAGACGGCUCCCGAUGCCUGUGGCUUCGAUCGCGUCUGCGUUCUGGAAGACCUCUUCCCUCACCCCGUUUCCCAGAGCAGCCCCCACUCCCCACCGAGCGGGUCUUUGCUCGGAGGAACACAGACCCCUGGCGGCUGGCUGCUCCCCGCACCUCCAGCCAGGAUCGCAGGCCCCUUGGGAGCCCGCUUACCUCCGAGUGGGAGGCCUGAGCUGGAACACAGAGCCUGCAGGUCUCUUUCAGCCAAUGCCCCCAACACCUUUCUCCACCUUUUGUUCAUAAAACAGUGAGCUUCAGAAGGAAGCGGCUCAGGAGGAGUGGGGGCUCCAGGCAGAGAAAGGGGACCCGUUCCUCCCGACACCUAAGUGAACCAACUGGAAAUAUCCCCCCCCACACCCCCUCUUCCGUGGGUCCCCACCCCACCCCAAGAAGGCGCCACCUCGCUGAGGUUGCCCUGACAGCAAAGGCCAAACAUCCCUUUGAAAACACCUGGUCUGGAAACUUGAGAAGAGGCUCCUGCCACCGUCUGCCACCCACCCUCGCCUCCUCCCGACCCUGCCAAGCCUGUGGGACAGAGUGGCCCCGACGCGUCUCUCCAGACACUGAGACACGGCGGCCUGGACGGGAGAGCCAGAGCCAGGGCCUGUCUCAGGCGGCUGUGCACCUGCAGGGCCCAUGGGCCCUUCCUCCGCCACGGGGGCCUCCCUUGCGGGUUCCUCCCUCCCCCUCCCGUCUUCCCCUCGCAGCCCAUGUGGCUCGACCCCAGGCUGUUCCAUGAAGGCCGCGGGGCAGAGGCUGCUCCCGGCACAGGCUCAACACAGGCAGGCUCUUUAGGAGGCGGAAGGUGGGCGCUCCGGUCCCGCCCGUCCCGUCUGGCAUGAGGGCCACCUGUGCGUCCACCUGCUCCUCGAGGCGCGUGGGUGAGCCUGGUCCUCACCCGCGGGCACCUCUGAUCUGAGCUGCUGCGCGAAGUGGCAACAGGGCUUAUACCCGCCCGGGGCCCAGGGAACCAGACAGGUUUUUCCUUUCCUGUAACUCACGGUAAUCACUGACCGUCGUAAUUUCCUCCAACGCGCUGCAAUCAAGGCAGACACGCACAACACCAGAGGAGAGCUUAAGCUGGCACGUGAGGCCAGGGACCUUGCGGGGCUGAGGGACGGGGUUGCUGCCUCUCCAUGACCUGGGUCCGCCUCUGGCGCCGGCCUCCGGCCAGAGGAGCAGCGCCCCCACUGGGCAGAGCAAGGGCGGGAGGCACGUGCUCCUCCAUCCAUCCUGGGCUCCAGCCACUUCCUGGGCCGCGCUGGCGUGUGGCUUAUCUUGAGCCCAGGCUUCUCUCGGGCCAAUGGCUUGAGUGGACCAGGUCCCCAAGGGAAGCGGUGGCCUGGGGAGCCUCAGGAGGGCUGUGAGGCCCAGGGGGGAGGAAAGCCUCAGGUCACAGCAGAGGAGGAGGAGAGAGUGAUUCCAGGGCAAGCUCCAUGGGACGGUGCCCAGGAGGCGCCAAGGCCAUGAACAACCAGGCUCGUGGCUUCCGGCAGCCUGGACCUGACUCAGACGUUCUUCAGGGCAAGUCGCCCACAGGAAACGUGCUUCCUCGUCCACUCGGUCCAUCUGUGUAAGAUCGCCUGCCCUCCUGCUUCCCUUUCACUCCCGGGCGUCUCUCCACGCAAGCGACAGAAUGGGAAGUGAAAGCGAGGGACCAGGCGCGGGUGGGGCUUCCUGCCUGUGAUCUGAGCAACCCUGGGUGGACCCUGCCUGCCCAGGACAGAUCCCCUCUCUUUCAUCACAGUCAAACCCACCACCACGGGUGGAAACGUCACCACGCGGCCUGGAACCUCAAACACGGCUGACAUCCAGCUCCCACCACGAGACAGCGAACGCAGCCACUCGACUUAGAAAUAAGGCGGCCUGGGAGCUCCCGUCGUGGCUCAGUGAGGCUUGGGGGCUGAGCUGGAGUCUCGGUUCUCCACGGACGCGGGCUGCCCCCAACCCAGGGUGUGGCCGGAAAGGCAGCUGGGAGUGACGCAUCACGGCCAGGGGAGCAUCUGACCACAGCUUUCAGAUGUGAGACGAGGAGCUGAGCUCUCGGCCCCGUGGAGUUUCCCUCGUGGCUUCAGCGGGCAGCGUUCCAGGUCCCCGACCAUCCUCUGUGCCCGUGUGUGCUGCAAGCCCCUGGUGGCUGUUUCCAUCGUCCCAUGAGCCCAUGGGGCUCCUGCCCUGGACACAGUGAUGGGCCUGCAGCCCCUCCAAGCUCCUCUGUCCCUUCCCACCUGCACUGACGGCCAGGCCUGUUUUUCUGUGAUGGGGGGCUCGCCCCUUUCAGCCCUAAGGGCCCCUUGGCUUCCAAACCUGGAUUCAGAGACCAGCCCAGGUCACAGGUCACAGGCUGCAAGGCUUCGAGUCCUGAACAGUUUCUAUGAACAAAACAAACCAGGCGACAGCCCUGGCAGGUGUCGGUCCCUCAGUGCCCCUGCCCUGUAGGUGCCCAGGUUCCGCAGCGGGGCUCCUGCCUCCUCCAAGGGACCCUUCUCCCACAGGGUGUCGGGGGGCAUCUGGGGAGACCCGUGCACGACGGUGCCAGGCAGGCCUCGUGGGGGCCCUGCGCGUCCUCCUGCUCCACCAACUUCCCACCGCAUUCCCUGGUUCAGAAGUUGCCUCGUCAACACCAUGGCAGGAUCUGAGCUCCCCACAGCAGCUCUCAGACUCUGGCCCCUCCGUCCUACCCCCAUCCCCUUCCCCAGAUGCCUUGGACAAGAGGACACGCUGCCUGUUCAGCAGUCCCCCCAUUUCAUUGGCAGGAAGGAGGUUCCCAUUCAGAAAGCAGGACUUUUCACCUCCUCCUUAAAUCCAAGAUAAUCUAGGACCUGGGCUGUAGGUAUAGCUUUCUGGCACCCUGGUCAUUUUGGUCAAACAAAAUGCCCCAGCCUGUGUCCUGACCUGCACACCCUACCUGCUGAUGGGUGCAGAAAGCCCCCAGCUGUCCUGGGUGCAAAAGCAGGCUCUCCCUUCCCCACCGUGAGGCUGUGUCCGGUGAGACCCUCCCCUGCAGACACGGGCACACUGGGCACGUGCUGAGAUGCUAGGAGAACCAACUGGAUCCGGAACAUUCUCCCGCCCCGCCCUCUCACCCACGAUUUCUCCAGCCUCACACCCUGGCUGCCCCCACGGCCUCCCCUGCCUGUUACUGGUGCAUGUCCACCCUCUGCACCUCCCCUGCUCCCCGUUUCUACCAGAACAGAACCCAAAUCUCUGUGCCAGGCCUGUGACCCUCUAUUGCCGCAGAAUAAGAAUUAGUGACUUAAAAUGAUAACAGGCAUCGACUGGCCUCACAGAUUCAAUGCGUCAGAAUUUGGGGUCUCGGCAUGUCUCACCUGAAGACUUGCCUGGAGCCAGCAGCCCCCCAUGCCGCCCUUCACGUGGCUGGGGGCUGGUGCUGGCUAUUGGUGGUUCCCACGGCACAAGCCUCUCCCAGGCAACUAGCCCGUCCUUGGACAAUGGCAGCUGGCUUCCCCCAGAGCAAGGGUCCCCAAGGACAACACCCCUGCCUCUGACCCUAGCCCCGGAGAGCGCACAGCAUGCAGCACCCACAUCCCGCUGACCCUGCCAGACCUCGGCGUCCAGGGAAGAGGUACUGGGUGCUACCUCAGGAGAGAGUGCAGCUGUUUGCUCACCUCCACACUGGCAUCCGAGGCCCCCCAGCCCAUCCCACCGCCUGAGGAGAUGCACAAGCGACGCCUACAUGUUAAAGUCUCACUCCCUGCAGGGGAGAAACCUGUGUGAUUUUGUUCACACGAGCACAGGGACUUAUAGCGGCACCGAGGGCCAGCAUGGCGUGAGCAGGAAUUGAGGGAGCAGGUGGCCAGCUGGCCAGGGCCACGUCCCAGGCUGCACGUGAAAGGCCUCUCCCCCAGGGCUGGUCAAGUGGAUGGUACCUUGACAGAUGCGCCUGUCUCUGCAAACACUGAGCCCCAGCCCCCUGACAGUUUCCCAGGUUUCCCUUUACACAAAGCCCCCUUCUGCGGAGAAAACUCUGACCCCCAUUUUAUAUACAGACAUUGCAUGCAGCUGCCGUGAACGAGCAGGGAGCACCCACCACAGGCCUCCCACCCCUCCUCUCUGCCGUUUGAAUCCUUCGUGGUCCAGGUUCCCUGGAGGACACGGCCGCAUUUGGGGGAGGCUGUGAAACAGCUCAGAGAAUCACGCAGCAGCUCAGUCUGGCACCGUCGUGCAGAGGGGCGGCCAAGCCUGCUGGCCCCUCUGCUCACUGAGCUCGUUUCCAGUCUGUGCAUCCCCAGUUUCUCUUUGCCACUCCUCCAGCAUCACCUGGUGACCUUCUGAUGCUUUGGGUCAUUGCUCAUCAGACCCAGCCUUUUUUUCAGAUGGCACUCCAUUCUGUGCAGGCCUUGUCAGUGCCUUUAUUAUUGAUCUGCAUUGACAUUCUUCCAGCCCACCUCCACCCGUGCCAGGGAUGGCUGUGCCACCUGGAAUCUGACCCACCUGAGGCAUAGUGGGUGGUGGGAUUAGAGGCUGGUGAAAGAGAAAAGGUCUCUGAGGAAGGACAGCUGGGGCUGUGGGGGGCUCUCCAGCCAGUACCUGCCCCUGUUAGCACGGAAGCCCCCAGCCAGGGCCCAGUGUGAGCUGGGGGCAGCAUUCCACUGUGUUUGCCCUUCUUGGGCUUUUCUCAGGCUUGGCGCCUCCUUUUCUCAUGUUUAGUCAACAAUCUUCCACUCCCAUCACAACUUGCCCCGUGUUUGCCCACCAGGGCUGCCUGUCAGCUGCAGGAGCCCACAGAGCUGGUGCCCCGGGGCGCCCAGCGGCCCCCACACUCCUCACCCGCCUGUCAUUUGCUUCUGACACCGGGGUCUGAAGUCUGGUCCAGGUGCCGUGGGUCCAGCUCCACGGCAACUCCACGGGAUCCCCAGGCUAAUGAGAGCGCUGAGUGGCAACCGGGGGACAGGGAGGGAGCGCUGCCGUGGAGACAGCCCAAGGCCAGCAGUUACCACGGCGCUGGCAGAUCCCAGCUCAGCCUCGAGGUCCUGUCAGCUGGAAACAUCCUGCUCCCUGAACUGUCCGCACGGAAACUCUGCAGCCAAAUGCUCUGCCCUGAAUGCAGCCCCCACAGCCUCACAUGGAAGCUCUGAACUCAGCCCUGGCUGGUGUCGUGGCCAAAAGGCCCCCAGGGCGGUCCCUCUGUCCGUCCGUCCAACCCCAGGGACGGGACCCUGAACUCAGAAGGCCCCAUGGAGCUUCAGGGAGGGGGCGACAAGGGCAGCCUGGGCCCUGGACAGCAGGGUGGUGCAUCCACCCCCUACACACCACGUCCAUGCCCCCAACCCGCCUCCCCGCAGACCCCAGCACCGAGAGACCCGCGGCCGCCCCUCAGACCAGGCUGCCCCCUCGCCCGGGCCCCAGUGCCCCUGAAGACGGCACCCCUGUGUCAGCGUCCAGGCCCUCCCCGCCAAAGAUACCUUCACACAGGAGUGCGGGGACACAAGGAGGCGAAAGGGGCCACGUGAGGAAAGCCCACGGAGCGCCCACCCUCUUGGCUCCCUGAGGAGCCCAGAGAGGCCAAGCAACUGGUCCAAAGUUGAACAGCCCUGAGUGGCAGCCUUGAUGUGAGCUGAGAACCAGGCUUUCCGACUCGCUCUCCCCGGGGAAGGCAUUAGGAGGCCAGAUUCUGCCUCAAAAGGGUGAAUCGGAGGGUGGCCACCCCACUAGCGCAUGGGCCCCUGCCAGCCGUCCCGGCCACCCCACCUCCACGUGGGCAGGUUCUCCCAGACGUACCAGGACAGGCGCCAGCAGCAUCCGACCUCCCAGCGCCGCCCAGAUCCCGCUGAGAAUCAGGGAGCUGGGCUCAGCAGGCACCACCUGGUACACAGCCUCCAGGCUCCUCUGCAGCCGGCGGGGCCGUGUCCAGCGAUCGCUGUCACGGGUGGGGCGUGGGGGCCAUGCCAGGCCUGCUCACCCUUGAACUGCCUGCAAGCUCACAGCACAGCUCAUGAGCCGGGGGAGAACGGACUUUCCAGAGCUGAAAAGACUUUCUCCAUCACUGUCCCACGUUGCGGUGUUUCACGUCACCACACAAAUGCUGGACAGGGACUCGGUCCAGGAUCACCCAGCCCUGAACAAGACUCAGAAAAGCUCACAGAAAACGCAGUCCCUUGAGUCUGCCUGAACCACCCAGGCUCCUAUAAAACACACCAGGCUCCUUGCUGGAUUCAAAUCCCAGCAGCUCAGAUUCAAACCGCACCUGACCCAGGCCCAGGCCCAGAAGGCCAGCUUCGCCUCCAACUCCCAACCCGCAAGGGCCUGGGGGAGGCUGACAGGAGGGCAGACGGAGGCACGCCCCACACACGCUCUUGGUGAGGAAGGCCGUCUCUGCCCUCCUCGCCCAUCCCUCGUUUCUCUGGGAGAAGAGCGUAGAAACGUCUAGAGAUGAAUCCUCCAGGCUUUCGGUUUUGCAGGAGGCGUUGCUUUGAGAGGAAACACUUCUCUUUCAUGCCCUCUUCCUCCCCACCCCCACCCCUGUCCUCCCAGGAAUCACAAUGCAGAAGAAAUGCACAAUGGAAUACUACUCAGCCAUAAAAAAGAACGACAUAAUGCCAUUUGCAGCAACAUGGAUGGAACCAGAGACUCUCAUCCUGAGUGAAGUGAGUCAGAAAGAGA
Sus scrofa (pig) is the source of this 8106-nucleotide long non-coding RNA. RefSeq lists it as uncharacterized. NCBI's taxonomy places the organism in Eukaryota, Metazoa, Chordata, Mammalia, Artiodactyla, Suidae. The record is from RefSeq and is a predicted model, not a curated record.